This 392-nucleotide long non-coding RNA is filed under the name Brassica napus (rape). RNAcentral describes it as "long non-coding RNA (BNAP_LNC021894)". Lineage: Eukaryota; Viridiplantae; Streptophyta; Magnoliopsida; Brassicales; Brassicaceae. The record is from RNAcentral.
UAGGAAAGACCUAAGGGACAAGACUCCAACCCAAAACUAAACAACGUAUAGGAGUCUACGACAAUAUCAACCAAUACUCGUAGUCCAGUCUAUAUGGCAUAGGACCCGUAGUAUUAACAUCACAACCAGGAGAUCGGCCUAUAUGGCCAAGAUCCCAAAACAACAACUUUAUCACUAAACAACUCAACCAUUUAGUCACUCCCUUACCAAGAGAUGACUAACCUCAAUCAACAAGAUUAAUUAAACGAGCAAGCAUUUAAUUAAAUCUACUCAAUCAAACCGUUACCCAGAUAGUUCGGCCUCAUGCUACGACACUAUCUUUAAAGAUAACGGGAACCUGCAAUCAACCAUAUCAACACGCAAGAAUAUAAAUCAUGAUGCAUCUUAGUCCU